AGUGAACGCUGGCGGUAGGCCUAACACAUGCAAGUCGAACGGCAGCACAGGAGAGCUUGCUCUCUGGGUGGCGAGUGGCGGACGGGUGAGGAAUACAUCGGAAUCUACUUUUUCGUGGGGGAUAACGUAGGGAAACUUACGCUAAUACCGCAUACGACCUACGGGUGAAAGCAGGGGACCUUCGGGCCUUGCGCGAUUGAAUGAGCCGAUGUCGGAUUAGCUAGUUGGCGGGGUAAAGGCCCACCAAGGCGACGAUCCGUAGCUGGUCUGAGAGGAUGAUCAGCCACACUGGAACGGGGACACGGUCCAGACUCCUACGGGAGGCAGCAGUGGGGAAUAUUGGACAAUGGGCGCAAGCCUGAUCCAGCCAUACCGCGUGGGUGAAGAAGGCCUUCGGGUUGUAAAGCCCUUUUGUUGGGAAAGAAAUCCAGCUGGCUAAUACCCGGUUGGGAUGACGGUACCCAAAGAAUAAGCACCGGCUAACUUCGUGCCAGCCGCCGCAGUAA
RNAcentral lists this ribosomal RNA (506 nucleotides) under uncultured bacterium. RNAcentral describes it as "partial 16S ribosomal RNA". It matches the Rfam family "Bacterial small subunit ribosomal RNA", at positions 29 to 523 of the family's 1533-position model. The record is from RNAcentral.